AGGGGAAUCGCCAAGUUGGUAAGGCAUCGGAUUUUGAUUCCGACACUCGCAGGUUCGAGUCCUGCUUCCCCUGCCA
This 76-nucleotide transfer RNA is filed under the name Zoogloeaceae bacterium. Its description in RNAcentral is "tRNA-Gln". It matches the Rfam family "tRNA". Rfam says of the family: Transfer RNA (tRNA) molecules are approximately 80 nucleotides in length. The record is from RNAcentral. Lineage: Bacteria; Pseudomonadati; Pseudomonadota; Betaproteobacteria; Rhodocyclales; Zoogloeaceae.